RNAcentral lists this signal recognition particle RNA (100 nucleotides) under Lachnospiraceae bacterium. RNAcentral's name for it is "signal recognition particle sRNA small type". It matches the Rfam family "Bacterial small signal recognition particle RNA". Rfam says of the family: The signal recognition particle (SRP) is a universally conserved ribonucleoprotein involved in the co-translational targeting of proteins to membranes. Archaeal SRP consists of a 7S RNA and homologues of the eukaryotic SRP19 and SRP54 proteins. Lineage: Bacteria; Bacillati; Bacillota; Clostridia; Lachnospirales; Lachnospiraceae. The record is from RNAcentral.
AAUUCGGUCUCGCGCAAUGGGAAUCUACGAACCGUGUCAGGUUGGGAACAAAGCAGCACUAAGUAGAACCUCUCAUGUGCCGUGAGGCAACCGGGUGGAG